RNAcentral lists this ribosomal RNA (452 nucleotides) under uncultured bacterium. RNAcentral describes it as "bacterial SSU rRNA". It matches the Rfam family "Bacterial small subunit ribosomal RNA", at positions 340 to 786 of the family's 1533-position model. The record is from RNAcentral.
UACGGGAGGCAGCAGGGGGAAUAUUGCACAAUGGGCGCAAGCCUGAUGCAGCCAUGCCGCGUGUAUGAAGAAGGCCUUCGGGUUGUAAAGUACUUUCAGUCGUGGGGAAGGUGUUAAGGUUAAUAACCUUAGCAAUUGACGUUAGCGACAGAAGAAGCACCGGCUAACUCCGUGCCAGCAGCCGCGGUAAUACGGAGGGUGCGAGCGUUAAUCGGAAUUACUGGGCGUAAAGGGCACGCAGGCGGUUAAUUAAGUUGGAUGUGAAAUCCCCGGGCUUAACCUGGGAAUGGCAUUCAAGACUGGUUAGCUAGAGUCUUGUAGAGGGGGUAGAAUUCCAUGUGUAGCGGUGAAAUGCGUAGAGAUGUGGAGGAAUACCGGUGGCGAAGGCGGCCCCUGGACAAAGACUGACGCUCAUGUGCGAAAGCGUGGGGAGCAAACAGGGAUUAGAUACC